Molecule: ribosomal RNA, 210 nt
Filed under: uncultured bacterium
Lineage: Bacteria
Description: partial 16S ribosomal RNA
Rfam family: Bacterial small subunit ribosomal RNA
Source: RNAcentral
UGUGUAGGCGGUUAUUUAAGUUUGGUGUGAAAUCUCCCGGCUCAACCGGGAGGGUGCGCCGAAUACUGAAUGACUUGGAGUGCGGGAGAGGAAAGUGGAAUUCCUGGUGUAGCGGUGAAAUGCGUAGAUAUCAGGAGGAACACCGGUGGUGUAGACGGCUUUCUGGACCGUAACUGACGCUGAGACACGAAAGCGUGGGUAAGCAAACAG